GGCGCAAUGUGGAUGGUGUCAACUAUGCCAGCAUCACCCGGAACCAGCACAUCCCCCAAUACUGCGGCUCCUGCUGGGCCCACGCCAGCACCAGCGCUAUGGCGGAUCGGAUCAACAUCAAGAGGAAGGGAGCAUGGCCCUCCACCCUCCUGUCCGUGCAGAACGUCAUCGACUGUGGUAAUGCUGGCUCCUGUGAAGGGGGUAAUGACCUGUCCGUGUGGGACUACGCCCACCAGCACGGCGUCCCCGAUGAGACCUGCAACAACUACCAGGCCAAGGACCAGGAGUGUGACAAGUUUAACCAAUGUGGGACAUGCAAUGAAUUCAAAGAGUGCCACGCCAUCCGCAACUACACCCUCUGGAGGGUGGGAGACUAUGGCUCCCUCUCUGGGAGGGAGAAGAUGAUGGCAGAAAUCUACGCAAAUGGUCCCAUCAGGUGAGGAGAGGUCCCACGGGCGAGUAGAGGUUUGCAGGUGAGGAAAGGUCCCGCAGGUGAGGAGAGAUCCGCGGUGACAGCGCCAGUGUGGGCUCAUGUAGGUACUCAUGUAGACGUCUCCGUCUUUCGCCACUUCCCUUUGGCUGGUUGUAUUCAGUGGGCUCGAGACAGCCACAUCAUUUCCCCUCUAC
Molecule: small RNA, 627 nt
Filed under: Pongo abelii (Sumatran orangutan)
Lineage: Eukaryota; Metazoa; Chordata; Mammalia; Primates; Hominidae
Description: retained intron
Source: RNAcentral